UCCCUUUUGGCCUAGUGGUCAGGAUUUGGCUCUCUCACCACCGUGGCCUGGGUUCCAUUCCCUGUGAGGGAA
Crenichthys baileyi (White River springfish) is the source of this 72-nucleotide non-coding RNA. The record is from the annotation of a GenBank genome assembly. NCBI's taxonomy places the organism in Eukaryota, Metazoa, Chordata, Actinopteri, Cyprinodontiformes, Goodeidae.